UAGGGAAUCUUCCACAAUGGGCGAAAGCCUGAUGGAGCAACGCCGCGUGUGUGAUGAAGGCUUUCGGGUCGUAAAGCACUGUUGUAUGGGAAGAACAUCUAGAAUAGGAAAUGAUUUUAGUUUGACGGUACCAUACCAGAAAGGGACGGCUAAAUACGUACCAG
Molecule: ribosomal RNA, 164 nt
Filed under: uncultured bacterium
Lineage: Bacteria
Description: partial 16S rRNA
Rfam family: Bacterial small subunit ribosomal RNA
Source: RNAcentral